GACGAACGCUGGCGGCGUGCCUAAUACAUGCAAGUAGAACGCUGAAGAGAGGAGCUUGCUCUUCUUGGAUGAGUUGCGAACGGGUGAGUAACGCGUAGGUAACCUGCCUUGUAGCGGGGGAUAACUAUUGGAAACGAUAGCUAAUACCGCAUAACAAUGGAUGACACAUGUCAUUUAUUUGAAAGGGGCAAUUGCUCCACUACAAGAUGGACCUGCGUUGUAUUAGCUAGUAGGUGAGGUAAUGGCUCACCUAGGCGACGAUACAUAGCCGACCUGAGAGGGUGGUCGGCCACACUGGGACUGAGACACGGCCCAGACUCCUACGGGAGGCAGCAGUAGGGAAUCUUCGGCAAUGGGGGCAACACUGACCGAGCAACGCCGCGUGAGUGAAGAAGGAUUUCGGGUCGUAAAGCUCUGUUGUAAGUCAAGAACGGGUGUGAGAGUGGAAAGUUCACACUGUGACGGUAGCUUACCAGAAAGGGACGGCUAACUACGUG
RNAcentral lists this ribosomal RNA (497 nucleotides) under uncultured bacterium. RNAcentral describes it as "partial 16S ribosomal RNA". It matches the Rfam family "Bacterial small subunit ribosomal RNA", at positions 28 to 507 of the family's 1533-position model. The record is from RNAcentral.